UACGAAGGGGGCUAGCGUUGCUCGGAAUUACUGGGCGUAAAGGGAGCGUAGGCGGAUGUUUAAGUCGGGGGUGAAAGCCCGGGGCUCAACCCUGGAACUGCCUUCGAUACUGGGCAUCUAGAGUACGGGAGAGGUGUGUGGAACUCCGAGUGUAGAGGUGAAAUUCGUAGAUAUUCGGAAGAACACCAGUGGCGAAGGCGACACACUGGCCCGUUACUGACGCUGAGGCUCGAAAGCGUGGGGAGCAAACAGG
Molecule: ribosomal RNA, 253 nt
Filed under: uncultured bacterium
Lineage: Bacteria
Description: partial 16S ribosomal RNA
Rfam family: Bacterial small subunit ribosomal RNA
Source: RNAcentral